CUGGGCCACCUGGCCGGCCCCUCAUUAUUUCUUAAUAAGAUAAACUAUACUCACAAUGCUGAAUGCCAGAGGAAUUAAGAAUACAAUUGUCGAUACUAAACUUCCAUUGUCACGGACAAAUCUUCUUUACAGAGUUUAUAAAUACAUUUCGAAAAUCUCACUGUCAGUACUUUUUUUUUCCAACUCUUUCAAUAAAGCCUAGAGUUAAAAAAAGAAAAAAAAAAAAGGAUGGCGCCCUCCGGUGGGGGCGCGGCACAAGGAGAGCACGAAGAUGGCGUCUACCGGCCUCGUCCGCAGAGCAGGAGGCCUCCAGAUACUUGCCAGACCAGGUGCCUGCCCCUCAGGCCAAGGCUCCAAGACCAGGAAAUGAGCCUCUUUCAGUCUGGGCGCCUCUCCUGGCCGAUUCUGCACUGGGCCCGGGAGCAGGCUCCUGGAUUUAUGAAGUUGGAGUCGGUGUUCAGAGUCCACAUUUUAUGAUGUCGAGAGUUGGCGUUGUUUCGUCUUUCCCCAUGACCUGUUUUAACGGUGCCCAGUUGCAACUUGUCACAAAGAAGUCUUCCUCCCACAGAGGCCAGGGAUACGAUGAAGUCACACGCAGGGAGCACCCGAGUAAGAAUUGCUCAGAAGCAAAUAUGGUUCUGAAGCCCCCUAGUACAUAGUUGUAUCUUCUAGUUGUAGGUGCUGUGUGGGAUGCCACCUCAGCAUGGCUUCAUGAGCAGUGCCAUGUUUGCAUCCAGGAUCUGAACCGGGAAACCCUGGGCCAUCAAGGUGGAGCGCAUGAACUUAACCGCUUGGGCACAGGGCCAGCCGCCUUGGUUAUCUUUUGAAAGCUUAACUUUCAACUAUGCCAUUCCCUCAAAGCUUUGUUAAGUGACCACCUGGAAAUCUUACCAAUAAAUGAUA
This 903-nucleotide long non-coding RNA is filed under the name Equus asinus (donkey). RNAcentral describes it as "lncRNA (ENSEASG00005031509.1)". The record is from RNAcentral. Lineage: Eukaryota; Metazoa; Chordata; Mammalia; Perissodactyla; Equidae.